CAGGGAGACAACAAAAUGUUUAAUAUUAUAAUUUUGUCACCUUAGGUCGAUCGGUAUCUCACGUUCUUAAUUUAUUAAGAAUUUCAUUUUCUAAGUUUUUCUAGGUCACACCCAUUAUUUUUCCUGGGCCAUUAGCUCAGGUGGUUAGAGCGCACCCCUGAUAAGGGUGAGGUCCCUGGUUCAAGUCCAGGAUGGCCCAUAUCUCUAUGUUGGGGGUAUAGCUCAGUUGGUAGAGCGCCUGCUUUGCAAGCAGGAUGUCAGCGGUUCGAGUCCGCUUACCUCCACUGAUUACCACCUCUUCCAUAAUCUGUAGAAAGGAAAUGUUUUGAGUUGUGAUCGAUUUCUGAACGAAUCUAGCUUCCUAAUUAAAUUAUUAAGAUGCUGGACUCAUUGAAUUAAUUUCAUUGUUUUCAGAGAACCUUGACAACUGCAUAGAUUUUUUUAAAGACAAUAAGCAUCUUUAAUGAUGCAGAUUUAUUAUUUGUGCGAAUGCAUUAAUAACAAUUCUAUUAAGCUGAUGCUUCAAUUUUGAAGUUAUU
Molecule: transfer RNA, 539 nt
Filed under: uncultured cyanobacterium
Lineage: Bacteria; Bacillati; Cyanobacteriota
Description: partial miscellaneous RNA
Rfam family: tRNA (bases 212-284)
Source: RNAcentral